RNAcentral lists this ribosomal RNA (282 nucleotides) under uncultured Anaplasma sp. RNAcentral's name for it is "partial 16S ribosomal RNA". It matches the Rfam family "Bacterial small subunit ribosomal RNA", at positions 955 to 1233 of the family's 1533-position model. Lineage: Bacteria; Pseudomonadati; Pseudomonadota; Alphaproteobacteria; Rickettsiales; Anaplasmataceae. The record is from RNAcentral.
UGCAACGCGAAGAACCUUACCACUUCUUGACAUGGAGAUUAGAUCCUUCUUAACAGAAGGGCGCAGUUCGGCUGGAUCUCGCACAGGUGCUGCAUGGCUGUCGUCAGCUCGUGUCGUGAGAUGUUGGGUUAAGUCCCGCAACGAGCGUAACCCUCAUCCUUAGUUGCCAGCGGGUUAAGCCGGGCACUUUAAGGAGACUGCCAGUGGUAAACUGGAGGAAGGUGGGGAUGAUGUCAAGUCAGCACGGCCCUUAUGGAGUGGGCUACGCACUUGCUACAAUGG